Molecule: ribosomal RNA, 253 nt
Filed under: uncultured bacterium
Lineage: Bacteria
Description: partial 16S ribosomal RNA
Rfam family: Bacterial small subunit ribosomal RNA
Source: RNAcentral
UACGUAGGGUGCAAGCGUUGUCCGGAAUCAUUGGGCGUAAAGCGCGCGUAGGCGGCCCGGUAAGUCCGCUGUAAAAGUCCAGGGCUCAACCCUGGAACGCCGGUGGAUACUGUCGGGCUAGAGUCCGGAAGAGGCGAGUGGAAUUCCUGGUGUAGCGGUGGAAUGCGCAGAUAUCAGGAGGAACACCGAUGGCGAAGGCAGCUCGCUGGGACGGUACUGACGCUGAGGCGCGAAAGCGUGGGGAGCGAACAGG